GCAGUGGCGGCGGUAGCUGUAGGGAGUCGAAGAGGACGAGAAAGGGGGAGAAGAAGGCGGUGGUAACUAACGAGAAGGGGGGCAGCCUUUUCGGAUCAGGAGAGCGAGCUUGGUGUCACUGUUGGGUAUUUGUGGCACCACGCAGCAGCGGAGGCUUCUCAGGAGUCAGAGGUAUGCAAUUUUUUUAUUUUUUAGUUUCCUG
Molecule: long non-coding RNA, 202 nt
Filed under: Arachis ipaensis
Lineage: Eukaryota; Viridiplantae; Streptophyta; Magnoliopsida; Fabales; Fabaceae
Description: long non-coding RNA (AIPA_LNC002509)
Source: RNAcentral